UUAAGCGACUAAGCGUACACGGUGGAUGCCCUGGCAGUCAGAGGCGAUGAAGGACGUGCUAAUCUGCGAAAAGCGCCGGCGAGGUGAUAUGAACCUUUGACCCGGCGAUGUCCGAAUGGGGAAACCCAGUGCAAUCCGUUGCACUAUCGUUAACUGAAUACAUAGGUUAACGAGGCGAACCGGGGGAACUGAAACAUCUAAGUACCCCGAGGAAAAGAAAUCAACCGAGAUUCCCCCAGUAGCGGCGAGCGAACGGGGAGCAGCCCGGAGUCUGAAUCAGCUUGUGUGUUAGUGGAACGGUCUGGAAAGUCCGACGGUACAGGGUGAUAGUCCCGUACACGAAAGCACACAUGCUGUGAACUCGAAGAGUAGGGCGGGACACGUGGUAUCCUGUCUGAAUAUGGGGGGACCAUCCUCCAAGGCUAAAUACUCCUGACUGACCGAUAGUGAACCAGUACCGUGAGGGAAAGGCGAAAAGAACCCCGGCGAGGGGAGUGAAAAAGAACCUGAAACCGUGUACGUACAAGCAGUGGGAGCCUCUUUAUGGGGUGACUGCGUACCUUUUGUAUAAUGGGUCAGCGACUUAUAUUCUGUAGCAAGGUUAACCGUAUAGGGGAGCCGAAGGGAAACCGAGUCUUAACUGGGCGUUAAGUUGCAGGGUAUAGACCCGAAACCCGGUGAUCUAGCCAUGGGCAGGUUGAAGGUUGGGUAACACUAACUGGAGGACCGAACCGACUAAUGUUGAAAAAUUAGCGGAUGACCUGUGGCUGGGGGUGAAAGGCCAAUCAAACCGGGAGAUAGCUGGUUCUCCCCGAAAGCUAUUUAGGUAGCGCCUCGUGAACUCAUCUUCGGGGGUAGAGCACUGUUUCGGCUAGGGGGCCAUCCCGGCUUACCAACCCGAUGCAAACUACGAAUACCGAAGAAUGUUAUCACGGGAGACACACGGCGGGUGCUAACGUCCGUCGUGAAGAGGGAAACAACCCAGACCGCCAGCUAAGGUCCCAAAGUCAUGGUUAAGUGGGAAACGAUGUGGGAAGGCACAGACAGCCAGGAUGUUGGCUUAGAAGCAGCCAUCAUUUAAAGAAAGCGUAAUAGCUCACUGGUCGAGUCGGCCUGCGCGGAAGAUGUAACGGGGCUAAACCAUGCACCGAAGCUGCGGCAGCGACGCUUAGGCGUUGUUGGGUAGGGGAGCGUUCUGUAAGCCGUUGAAGGUGUCCUGUGAGGGGUGCUGGAGGUAUCAGAAGUGCGAAUGCUGACAUAAGUAACGAUAAAGCGGGUGAAAAGCCCGCUCGCCGGAAGACCAAGGGUUCCUGUCCAACGUUAAUCGGGGCAGGGUGAGUCGACCCCUAAGGCGAGGCCGAAAGGCGUAGUCGAUGGGAAACAGGUUAAUAUUCCUGUACUUGGUGUUACUGCGAAGGGGGGACGGAGAAGGCUAUGUCAGCCGGGCGACGGUUGUCCCGGUUUAAGCAUGUAGGCGGAGGUUCCAGGUAAAUCCGGUACCUUAUUAACGCUGAGGUGUGAUGACGAGGCACUACGGUGCUGAAGUGAUAAAUGCCCUGCUUCCAGGAAAAGCCUCUAAGCAUCAGGUAACACGAAAUCGUACCCCAAACCGACACAGGUGGUCAGGUAGAGAAUACCAAGGCGCUUGAGAGAACUCGGGUGAAGGAACUAGGCAAAAUGGUGCCGUAACUUCGGGAGAAGGCACGCUGAUAUGUAGGUGAAGCCCCUGCGGGCGGAGCUGAAAUCAGUCGAAGAUACCAGCUGGCUGCAACUGUUUAUUAAAAACACAGCACUGUGCAAACACGAAAGUGGACGUAUACGGUGUGACGCCUGCCCGGUGCCGGAAGGUUAAUUGAUGGGGUUAGCGGCAACGCGAAGCUCUUGAUCGAAGCCCCGGUAAACGGCGGCCGUAACUAUAACGGUCCUAAGGUAGCGAAAUUCCUUGUCGGGUAAGUUCCGACCUGCACGAAUGGCGUAAUGAUGGCCAGGCUGUCUCCACCCGAGACUCAGUGAAAUUGAACUCGCUGUGAAGAUGCAGUGUACCCGCGGCAAGACGGAAAGACCCCGUGAACCUUUACUAUAGCUUGACACUGAACACUGGUCCUUGAUGUGUAGGAUAGGUGGGAGGCUUUGAAGCGUGGACGCCAGUCUGCGUGGAGCCAACCUUGAAAUACCACCCUUUAAUGGCUGGUGUUCUAACGUAGACCCGUAAUCCGGGUUGCGGACAGUGUCUGGUGGGUAGUUUGACUGGGGCGGUCUCCUCCCAAAGAGUAACGGAGGAGCACGAAGGUUGGCUAAUCCUGGUCGGACAUCAGGAGGUUAGUGCAAUGGCAUAAGCCAGCUUGACUGCGAGCGUGACGGCGCGAGCAGGUGCGAAAGCAGGUCAUAGUGAUCCGGUGGUUCUGAAUGGAAGGGCCAUCGCUCAACGGAUAAAAGGUACUCCGGGGAUAACAGGCUGAUACCGCCCAAGAGUUCAUAUCGACGGCGGUGUUUGGCACCUCGAUGUCGGCUCAUCACAUCCUGGGGCUGAAGUAGGUCCCAAGGGUAUGGCUGUUCGCCAUUUAAAGUGGUACGCGAGCUGGGUUUAGAACGUCGUGAGACAGUUCGGUCCCUAUCUGCCGUGGGCGCUGGAGAAUUGAGGGGGGCUGCUCCUAGUACGAGAGGACCGGAGUGGACGCAUCACUGGUGUUCGGGUUGUCAUGCCAAUGGCACUGCCCGGUAGCUAAAUGCGGAAGAGAUAAGUGCUGAAAGCAUCUAAGCACGAAACUUGCCCCGAGAUGAGUUCUCCCUGAGACCUUGAGUCUCCUGAAGGAACGUUGAAGACGACGACGUUGAUAGGUCGGGUGUGUAAGCGCAGCGAUGCGUUGAGCUAACCGAUACUAAUGAACCGUGAGGCUUAACCUU
Molecule: ribosomal RNA, 2904 nt
Filed under: Enterobacter cloacae
Lineage: Bacteria; Pseudomonadati; Pseudomonadota; Gammaproteobacteria; Enterobacterales; Enterobacteriaceae
Also listed under: 1 other name
Description: bacterial LSU rRNA
Rfam family: Bacterial large subunit ribosomal RNA
Source: RNAcentral